Molecule: ribosomal RNA, 558 nt
Filed under: uncultured bacterium
Lineage: Bacteria
Description: partial 16S ribosomal RNA
Rfam family: Bacterial small subunit ribosomal RNA
Source: RNAcentral
UGGGGAAUAUUGGACAAUGGGGGCAACCCUGAUCCAGCCAUGCCGCGUGAGUGAUGAAGGCCUUCGGGUUGUAAAGCCCUUUUGGCGGGGACGAUGAUGACGGUACCCGCAGAAUAAGCCCCGGCUAACUUCGUGCCAGCAGCCGCGGUAAGACGAAGGGGGCUAGCGUUGUUCGGAAUUACUGGGCGUAAAGCGAGUGUAGGCGGUUGCCGUAGUCAGGUGUGAAAGCCUUGAGCUCAACUCAAGAAAUGCACUUGAUACUGGGUGACUAGAGGACCGGAGAGGAUAGUGGAAUUCCCAGUGUAGUGGUGAAAUACGUAGAGAUUGGGAAGAACACCAGUGGCGAAGGCGGCUAUCUGGACGGUUACUGACGCUAAGACUCGAAAGCGUGGGGAGCAAACAGGAUUAGAUACCCUGGUAGUCCACGCCGUAAACGAUGGGUGCUAGACGUUGGCGAGCUUGCUCGUCAGUGUCGCAGCUAACGCGUUAAGCACCCCGCCUGGGGAGUACGGCCGCAAGGUUGAAACUUAAAGGAAUUGACGGGGGUCAUAGCUGUUU